Molecule: transfer RNA, 76 nt
Filed under: Xenorhabdus szentirmaii
Lineage: Bacteria; Pseudomonadati; Pseudomonadota; Gammaproteobacteria; Enterobacterales; Morganellaceae
Also listed under: 1 other name
Description: tRNA-Ala
Rfam family: tRNA
About the family: Transfer RNA (tRNA) molecules are approximately 80 nucleotides in length.
Source: RNAcentral
GGGGCUAUAGCUCAGCUGGGAGAGCGCCUGCCUUGCACGCAGGAGGUCGGCGGUUCGAUCCCGCUUAGCUCCACCA